UACGUAGGGUGCGAGCGUUGUCCGGAAUUAUUGGGCGUAAAGAGCUUGUAGGCGGUUUGUCGUGUCUGCUGUGAAAUCUCAAGGCUCAACCUUGAGCUUGCAGUGGGUACGGGCAGACUAGAGUGUGGUAGGGGAGACUGGAAUUCCUGGUGUAGCGGUGAAAUGCGCAGAUAUCAGGGGGAACACCGAUGGCGAAGGCAGGUCUCUGGGCCACUACUGACGCUGAGAAGCGAAAGCAUGGGGAGCGAACAGG
This 253-nucleotide ribosomal RNA is filed under the name uncultured bacterium. RNAcentral describes it as "partial 16S ribosomal RNA". It matches the Rfam family "Bacterial small subunit ribosomal RNA", at positions 524 to 776 of the family's 1533-position model. The record is from RNAcentral.